This is a non-coding RNA of Pantherophis guttatus, 683 nucleotides long. NCBI's taxonomy places the organism in Eukaryota, Metazoa, Chordata, Lepidosauria, Squamata, Colubridae. The record is from RefSeq and is a predicted model, not a curated record.
GGGAGGGGGCAAAGGCCUUUUUAUCAGCGGCCCCCGGGUCACACAAGCCAGGGAUUUCCUCCUGUGGUUUAGCCCACAAAGAAAUCUGCUUCCACGGCUGUUGGGCUCUCCCACUUUUCAGCCCCAUCCAGGGGCAGGACCGGCUCCUAGCAGCCAACAGAAACCCAUGGAGUCCUGGAGUUGAACGUGGUUCCUGAGACCAUCCAGCUCAACCCCCAGCCCAGGGGUUUCAAUGACAUAAUGCACCACCACACUGUAUCCUGUGCUCUGGAGACAACGGCAUCGAUGACACACGAUGUGUAUCCACAAUUCCCACUGAAAAUCCGAGGCAAGUUUGUCUUUCUGGGGUUGCAAAAUUUCCUUGGCAAUUUGCCACAUGUGAAAUUCUAGAUUGCCUCAUACCUUCCAAAGACCAAGGAAGGGGCUGCAUGAGGUCAUGUCCAACCUCAGCUGACAUUGAUUGAUUUCAAAUGCUGUUAACAAAUUUGAGGAUUUUAAGCCCAAACAGAAAAAGAAUAGAAAAAUAGGAUGAGGUCAGGCCGGAUCUGAACAUCAACAGCAGGGCAGAGAACAAAGAAUCUUCCUUAAAGACUCCCUGAGGUGCUCCCUCAUCCUUACCUGUCCACCUAUCUGUCUGUCCGUCCACAUUCUUUGUAUUAAACUCACUUUAAGAUCAAAUGUAA